AAUGAACGCUGGCGGCAUGCCUAACACAUGCAAGUCGAACGGAAUCCAGGGUUCAAGCCCCUCGGGUCAAAGGGGGGAAGGGUGAGUGGCGCAUGGGUGCGUAACAAGUGGGCGACCUGGGUCAUAGAAGGGGAUAAUAGAGAGAGAAUUCUGCUAAUGCAGCAUAGGCAGGGACUGCCGCAUGGCAGAGGGUGGGAAGGGUAACGCGCUGAGAAGGGACCGCGUCUGAUUAGGCAGUUGGCAGGGUAAGAGCCUACCAAAGCGACGAUCAGUAGCCGGUCUGAGAGGAUGAACGGCCACACUGGGACUGAGACACGGCCCAGACUCCUACGGGAGGCAGCAGUGGGGGAUAUUGCACAAUGGGGGGAACCCUGAUGCAGCGAUGCCGCGUGAGUGAUGAAGUACUUAGGUAUGUAAAGCUCUAUCAGCCGGGAAGAUAAUGACAGUACCGGAAGAAGAAGCCCCGGCUAACUACGUG
This 478-nucleotide ribosomal RNA is filed under the name uncultured bacterium. RNAcentral's name for it is "partial 16S ribosomal RNA". It matches the Rfam family "Bacterial small subunit ribosomal RNA", at positions 29 to 507 of the family's 1533-position model. The record is from RNAcentral.